AGUGGCGGACGGGUGAGUAACGCGUGAGAAUCUAGCUUCAGGUCUGGGACAACCACUGGAAACGGUGGCUAAUACCGGAUGUGCCGAGAGGUGAAAGAUUAAUUGCCUGAAGAUGAGCUCGCGUCUGAUUAGCUAGUAGGUGGGGUAAGAGCCUACCUAGGCGACGAUCAGUAGCUGGUCUGAGAGGAUGAUCAGCCACACUGGGACUGAGACACGGCCCAGACUCCUACGGGAGGCAGCAGUGGGGAAUUUUCCGCAAUGGGCGAAAGCCUGACGGAGCAAUACCGCGUGAGGGAGGAAGGCUCUUGGGUCGUAAACCUCUUUUCUCAGGGAAGAACACAAUGACGGUACCUGAGGAAUCAGCAUCGGCUAACUCCGUGCCAGCAGCCGCGGUAAUACGGAGGAUGCAAGCGUUAUCCGGAAUGAUUGGGCGUAAAGCGUCCGCAGGUGGCGAUGUAAGUCUGCUGUUAAAGAGUGAGGCUCAACCUCAUAAGAGCAGU
This 500-nucleotide ribosomal RNA is filed under the name Synechococcus elongatus ISB 70. RNAcentral's name for it is "bacterial SSU rRNA". It matches the Rfam family "Bacterial small subunit ribosomal RNA", at positions 94 to 627 of the family's 1533-position model. The record is from RNAcentral. Lineage: Bacteria; Bacillati; Cyanobacteriota; Cyanophyceae; Synechococcales; Synechococcaceae.